RNAcentral lists this ribosomal RNA (493 nucleotides) under uncultured bacterium. RNAcentral's name for it is "partial 16S ribosomal RNA". It matches the Rfam family "Bacterial small subunit ribosomal RNA", at positions 30 to 523 of the family's 1533-position model. The record is from RNAcentral.
AUUGAACGCUGGCGGCAUGCCUUACACAUGCAAGUCGAACGGUAACAGGUUAAGCUGACGAGUGGCGAACGGGUGAGUAAUAUAUCGGAACGUGCCCAGUCGUGGGGGAUAACGUAGCGAAAGCUACGCUAAUACCGCAUACGAUCUACGGAUGAAAGCGGGGGAUCGCAAGACCUCGCGCGAUUGGAGCGGCCGAUAUCAGAUUAGGUUGUUGGUGAGGUAAAAGCUCACCAAGCCUGCGAUCUGUAGCUGGUCUGAGAGGACGACCAGCCACACUGGAACUGAGACACGGUCCAGACUCCUACGGGAGGCAGCAGUGGGGAAUUUUGGACAAUGGACGCAAGUCUGAUCCAGCAAUGCCGCGUGCAGGACGAAGGCCUUCGGGUUGUAAACUGCUUUUGUACAGAACGAAAAGGUUUCUACUAAUACUAGGAGCUCAUGACGGUACUGUAAGAAUAAGCACCGGCUAACUACGUGCCAGCAGCCGCCGUAA